UGUGAAUCACCAGGUUUACACACUUCACAGCACUCACCAAAGCAUAUACCCUCCCCAAUGUCCAUAAUCCCACCCUCUUCUCCCAACCCCCCUCCUCCCAGCAACCCUCAGUUUGUUUUGUGAGAUUAAGAGUCACUUAUGGUUUGUCUCCCUCCCAAUCCCAUCUUGUUUCAUUUAUUCUUCUCCUACCCACUUAAGCCCCCAUGUUGCAUCACCACUUCGUCAUAUCAGGGAGAUCAUAUGAUAGUUGUCUUUCUCUGCUUGACUUAUUUCGCUAAGCAUGAUACGCUCUAGUUCCAUCCAUGUUGUCGCAAAUGGCAAGAUUUCAUUUCUUUUGGUGGCUUCAUAGUAUUCCAUUAUGUAUAUAUACCACAUCUUCUUUAUCCAUUCAUCUGUUGAUGGACAUUUAGGUUCUUUCCAUAGUUUGGCUAUUGUGGACAUUGCUGCUACAAACAUUCGGGUGCACGUGCCCCUUUAAAUCACUACGUUUGUAUCUUUAGGGUAAAUACCCAGUAGUGCAAUUGCUGGGUCAUAGGGCAGUUCUAUUUUCAACAUUUUGAGGAACCUCCAUGCUGUUUUCCAGAGUGGCUGCACCAGCUUGCAUUCCCACCAACAGUGUAGGAGGGUUCCCCUUUCUCCGCAUCCUCGCCAGCAUCUAUCAUUUUCAGGUCAGAAAGUUUGAAAGAAGAGCAUGACAAUUACCCUCAACAUUGAUUCAAUACCAGCCUGUGAGACCUACUCUCCUUCCUCAAGUGGAGAAUGUCCAGUGUGGAGGGAGGGAGUCGGUGAACAGUUUCUUCAACCAAGGAAAUCUUCAUUGCUCAAGGAAACAUCUAAUGUGAGAUUAAAGCACGAGACUUUACCCAGCACUUCCUGUUUUGGUCAUUCAUCUGGGGAUGCUGGCUCUUUAUUUUCUACAAGAAGUUGCAUGAAAAAGACAUGGAAACAAACAAGAAUAAAACAAGAAGAGAAAAUAAUGAGGCUGCAUCACUGGGAGGAAAGAUCUGACUCCGGCCUCCCAGCAGGAACUGUCUUAUUGGAGAGCAAUCCAAAGAGAAUACACAAUGGGAGCCCAUGCUUCUUAUCUUGAUGAAAUAGCCUCUAAAUAAUAAAUAAAUAAACACGCACAUAUCAUCCCAGUCG
This 1143-nucleotide long non-coding RNA is filed under the name Mustela putorius furo (domestic ferret). Its description in RNAcentral is "lncRNA (ENSMPUG00000028403.1)". The record is from RNAcentral. Lineage: Eukaryota; Metazoa; Chordata; Mammalia; Carnivora; Mustelidae.